GGCAGCAGCCGCGGUAAUACGUAGGGGGCGAGCGUUAUCCGGAAUUAUUGGGCGUAAAGGGUGCGUAGGCGGCCUUUUAAGUCAGAUGUGAAAGGCUACGGCUUAACCGUAGUUAGCGUUUGAAACUAAAAGGCUUGAGUGCAGGAGAGGAGAGUGGAAUUCCUAGUGUAGCGGUGAAAUGCGUAGAUAUUAGGAGGAACACCAGUGGCGAAGGCGACUCUCUGGACUGCAACUGACGCUGAGGCACGAAAGCGUGGGGAGCGAACAGGAUUAGAUACCCUGGUAGUCCACGCCGUAAACGAUGAGUGCUAGGUGUUGGUGGGGACACCCAUCAGUGCCGCAGCUAACGCAUUAAGCACUCCGCCUGGGGAGUACGGUCGCAAGACUGAAACUCAAAGGAAUUGACGGGGACCCGCACAAGCAGCGGAGCAUGUGGUUUAAUUCGACGCAACGCGAAGAACCUUACCAGGGCUUGACAUCCCCUUGACAGGUGCAGAGAUGUACCCUCUCCUUCGGGAGCAAGGGAGACAGGUGGUGCAUGGUUGUCGUCAGCUCGUGUCGUGAGAUGUUGGGUUAAGUCCCGCAACGAGCGCAACCCUUGCCUUUAGUUGAUAACAGGUAAAGCUGAUAACUCUAGAGGGACUGCCGGUGACAAACCGGAGGAAGGUGGGGAUGACGUCAAAUCAUCAUGCCCCUUAUGUCCUGGGCUACACACGUGCUACAAUGGUCGGUACAACGGGAAGCAAGACUGCGAAGUUAAGCAAAUCCCAAUAGGCCGAUCCCAGUUCGGAUUGUAGGCUGCAACUCGCCUACAUGAAGUCGGAGUUGCUAGUAAUCGCGAAUCAGCACGUCGCGGUGAAUGCGUUCCCGGGUCUUGUACACACCGCCCGUCACACCAUGAGAGUUGGUAACACCCGAAGCCAGUGAGCUAACCAUAUGGAGGCAGCUGUCGAAGGUGGGAUCGAUGAUUGGGGUGAAGUCGUAACAAGGUAUCCA
This 996-nucleotide ribosomal RNA is filed under the name uncultured Proteiniborus sp. RNAcentral describes it as "bacterial SSU rRNA". It matches the Rfam family "Bacterial small subunit ribosomal RNA", at positions 507 to 1502 of the family's 1533-position model. The record is from RNAcentral. Lineage: Bacteria; Bacillati; Bacillota; Clostridia; Eubacteriales.